Molecule: ribosomal RNA, 497 nt
Filed under: uncultured bacterium
Lineage: Bacteria
Description: bacterial SSU rRNA
Rfam family: Bacterial small subunit ribosomal RNA
Source: RNAcentral
GAUGAACGCUAGCUACAGGCUUAACACAUGCAAGUCGAGGGGCAGCAUGUCGGUUGCUUGCAACCGACGAUGGCGACCGGCGCACGGGUGAGUAACGCGUAUCCAACCUACCCUUGUCCAUCGGAUAACCCGUCGAAAGGCGGACUAACACGAUAUGCAGUCCACAGCAGGCAUCUAACGUGGACGAAAUGUGAAGGAGAAGGAUGGGGAUGCGUCUGAUUAGCUUGUUGGCGGGGUAACGGCCCACCAAGGCGACGAUCAGUAGGGGUUCUGAGAGGAAGGUCCCCCACAUUGGAACUGAGACACGGUCCAAACUCCUACGGGAGGCAGCAGUGAGGAAUAUUGGUCAAUGGGCGAGAGCCUGAACCAGCCAAGUAGCGUGUGGGGACGAAUGCCCUAUGGGGUUGUAAACCACUUUUGCAGGAGGGUAAAAUGCUUCACGUGUGGAGUAUUGCAAGUAUCCUGCGAAUAAGGACCGGCUAAUUCCGUGCCAGCAG